AGCCUGAGCAGCGACGCCGCGUGGGGGAGGAAGGCCUUCGGGUUGUAAACCCCUGUCAGGGGGGACGAACACCUUGGUGACUAAUACACAGCGGGAGUGACGGUACCUCCCAAGGAAGCUCCGGCUAACUCCGUGCCAGCAGCCGCGGUAAUACGGGGGGAGCGAGCGUUGUUCGGAAUUACUGGGCGUAAAGGGCGCGUAGGCGGCCUCUCAAGUCGGGUGUGAAAUCCCAGGGCUCAACCCUGUGAACUGCGCCAGAUACUGCAUGUUUCGAGUAAGGGAGAGGAAAGCGGAAUUCCCGGGGUAACGGUGGAAUGCGUAAAUAUCGGGAAGAACAUCUGCGGCGAAGGCGGCUCGCUGGGCCGUAUCUGACGCUGAAGCACAAAACCGUGGGGACCAAACCGGAUUAAAUACCCUGGUAGUCCACGCCGUAAACGCUGGCCACUAGGUGUCGGGAGGCUUGAUCCUCCCGGCGCCGCAGCUAACGCAUUAAGUGCCCCGCCUGGGAA
RNAcentral lists this ribosomal RNA (509 nucleotides) under uncultured delta proteobacterium. RNAcentral's name for it is "bacterial SSU rRNA". It matches the Rfam family "Bacterial small subunit ribosomal RNA", at positions 380 to 879 of the family's 1533-position model. Lineage: Bacteria; Deltaproteobacteria. The record is from RNAcentral.